Molecule: ribosomal RNA, 405 nt
Filed under: uncultured bacterium
Lineage: Bacteria
Description: partial 16S ribosomal RNA
Rfam family: Bacterial small subunit ribosomal RNA
Source: RNAcentral
GAUGAACGCUGGCGGCGUGCCUAAUACAUGCAAGUCGAGCGAAGCGGGGAAGGGUGAGUAACACGUGGAUAACCUCCUAUAAGACUGGGAUAACUUCGGGAAACCGGAGCUAAACCGGAUACUUAAAGUUGGAUCCGCGCUGCAUUAGCUAGUUGGUAAGGUGACGGCUUACCAAGGCAACGAUGCAUAACCGACCUGAGAGGGUGAGCGGCCACACGGAAGCGUAGCCUCGCGCCGGACUCCGGCGGGAGGCAGCGGUGGGGAAUCUUCCGCAGUGUGCGAAAGCCUGACGGAGCACCGCCGCGUGAGUUUUGCCGGUCUUCGGUUCGUAAAACUCUGUUAUUCGGGCAGCGGUACCUAAUCAGAAAGCCCCGGCUAACUCCGUGCCAGCAGCCGCGGUAAUUC